GGGGACGUCCUGGUUUCGACGGGGUCGUCAAGGGUCGGAUAGCGAGUAGAGGGUUCCGUUGGCCUCUUUAAAAAACGGAGAUCUAAAUUUAAACGCAAACGAUAAUUUUGCACUUCAGGCUGCCUAAGCGCAGCUUGCGCCGCCCCGCGGGUUCCUCAAGCCUUCGGCAAGCGGUGUCAGCAAUUUGAGCCCUGCGGAUUUAAGGGUCAACUCCGCCAACCACACGCGCAAAGCUUUGAGCCCGUGCGGAUCCCAUGAAGCUACCGGGACAUUAAGCCCGCCGUUCGGCGCAUUGCCCCGGAAAAUCUAAACAUACGGCUACACUCGUAGAAGUCGGGCUUGAGGCGGUUUCGGACAGGGGUUCGACACCCCUCGUCUCCACCA
RNAcentral lists this transfer-messenger RNA (384 nucleotides) under bovine gut metagenome. It matches the Rfam family "transfer-messenger RNA". Rfam says of the family: Bacterial tmRNA, also known as 10Sa RNA or SsrA, is named for its dual tRNA and mRNA-like properties. Its role is to liberate the mRNA from a stalled ribosome. The record is from RNAcentral.